RNAcentral lists this ribosomal RNA (237 nucleotides) under uncultured bacterium. Its description in RNAcentral is "partial 16S ribosomal RNA". It matches the Rfam family "Bacterial small subunit ribosomal RNA", at positions 112 to 334 of the family's 1533-position model. The record is from RNAcentral.
AACGGGUGGAAAACCUGCCCUUCAAUGGGGGAUAACAGUUCUAACGAACUGCUAAUACCGCAUACGACCUUUGGAUCGCAUGGUCCGAUGGUGAAAGAUGGCCUCUCUCUGAAGCUGUCGUUGAAGGAUGGUUCCGCCUCCCAUUAGCUUGUUGGUGGGGUAAUGGCCUACCAAGGCGACGAUGGGUAGCCGGCCUGAGAGGGUGUCCGGCCACACUGGGACUGAGAUACGGCCCAG